AGUCACAUCCCCAAAUAUAUAUUACACGGCUGAAAUUAGGAAAGACAAAAUCAAACACUCUUCUCACCUGCCAAAUGAAAAUUAAAACCCUAAAAUCCACCAUUUUUUUUUAUUCUUGCCAGCGCCAAAAUCCGACCCGCCACCUCGACCCGAGGUCUCAAUAUCAUGCGAGGACCCGGUUGUUGUACCGGUUGUUGUACAACCCAAAAGUGGCGCUGCACCGGAAGAAAAGUGGAAUUCCGAAGCUGGAAUCUGAGGUUAGGUGAAAUGGCGAUAAAAGGCAAUUCUUGGAGCUUUAAAGAACCAAGAAGUUAGAGGGAGAUGAAUCAAGGGUGAAUGAAUGUGCAAAUAUGCUAAGGAGACAAGGAAAAAAGCCAAAGAAACAAUGCUUCAAUGCUGCAGAAAAAAGAAUUUUUACAGGUCAACUAGCACGUAUGUGCCACACAGCAAAUACAAGCAGCGAGGCAAUGCAUCGUAGAAUGUAGAGUUAAUUUUGAUCCGAAAAAGCCCAAUUAAGCCUAACUCAAGACAGACAUUAUGAGGACAUAAAUGCAACAUUUUAAAGGAUUUUGAAACACACUUUGACGCAAACAAAUCUAGAGAAUGAAGUAAUUGAAGGAAGAGACAGUGAGAAGGAAGAUAGAUUCAACUCGAAAGACAGUUUUUCCUCUUUUCCUUUCAUGUUUAUGAUAAUGAACUUUAGAUUUCUUUAUUUUCCAAUUAUGAACUAAUUCAAUUAUCUCGAGGAUUGAUGUAGCCUAUACUUGAUACUAUGUUUUGAUUUUCAAUGUAUAUUUCUUUGGGGUUUUCUUCUAA
Molecule: long non-coding RNA, 816 nt
Organism: Olea europaea var. sylvestris
Lineage: Eukaryota; Viridiplantae; Streptophyta; Magnoliopsida; Lamiales; Oleaceae
Exons: 2
Source: RefSeq, a predicted model, not a curated record